This is a long non-coding RNA of Dreissena polymorpha, 341 nucleotides long. RefSeq lists it as uncharacterized. The transcript is spliced from 3 exons. Lineage: Eukaryota; Metazoa; Mollusca; Bivalvia; Myida; Dreissenidae. The record is from RefSeq and is a predicted model, not a curated record.
UGCCUCGCGAGCAUAGCUGAGAAGUACAUCAGGGAAUCUCUGUCGUUUCCCAACCCAGAUUUCAAUGAUGUCAUGCUUGCCCCGGCUUCAUACUCCCGGGAGGCGGUUCUGAUCCCCAGACCGUCAGUUUUGACUGAAAACAUGGGAAUAUUUACCAACUUGCAAAAGUUAUGUCAACUGACGGGCUUCAAAAAACAAAACACGAAUAUUCGUGUGGCUGGCAAGCUGCCAAAUAUCGUCCAUAAAGUGCGGGCCCUCAGCUCCAUGGUCCAGUCUUUUUGCUGCACCUUCAGCUUUAAGACAAUAUGAGCUUCUGGAAGAAAGGCCCAACAAUGAGCUGU